RNAcentral lists this long non-coding RNA (352 nucleotides) under Manacus vitellinus (golden-collared manakin). Its description in RNAcentral is "lncRNA (ENSMVIG00005006431.1)". The record is from RNAcentral. Lineage: Eukaryota; Metazoa; Chordata; Aves; Passeriformes; Pipridae.
AAAGAGCAAUGGCAUUUUACAUCAUGUCCUGAAAGUCAUCAGUCCAUAACCACUAAGAAGUGAUGCAAAAUGCUGGUAAUCUCUGCCCAGCAAGCAAUCCGAGUCCAUGCGGAAAGCUCCUGAAAAACAUCAUCUGUGUAAGGAAGAAUUCCUUCCUACAUCUCGGUUACCAGGAGCAGGAAGCAGGGGAGGUGUCUGCCAAAAAUGGGGAGAAACAUGGGUUCCGUCUGAAGAUGGCCAACUGCUGGGACAAUGCUCUUGCUCACUGUGUGUGCAACUCCUGCAAGUGCUGCCCUCCUGUGUGUUUGAGCACAGGACUCCUCCUGUAGCCAGGAUGUCACCCAUGCAAGCA